CCUAUCUAAAACACUGUUCACUGCCCCUGUCCCCACUCUCAUUCCAAAACCACAGGAAAAAGGAUGUUGACACCACAGAAGCAAUGAGCUGAACGUUGGGGCCAUUUCUGCAGGCUGGGGAUGAAAUCUGCCUGGAGAAGUUGCAAAAUUCCAUCCCUGCUCUCCUCACAGUGGGAUGUGGAUGUAAACUCUCCUCUUUCUCAGAGCAGCUUUUAAGGGUGUCUUUGGGGGAUAACAGGGACCAACAAGCAACUUGUGACCCAAGAGGGAAAUAGCAGCAGCAGCAACUGGACUCUUCUCCAGACCUUGUGAUAAUGGUUCUGUGUUCGACAGCUUCCUGAGAAAAACAGGAUUUCUGCAUGGAAGGAGGAUGAGUACUCUGACAAACACCUGAAUUCUGCAGCAGCAGAGAAUGUCACCAUGAAUGUCCAUUGGCAAACUGGAUAAGAAAGAGUGUCACAGUGCAGGACAACCUAGAAGAUGACAGAUACUCGCAGGUCUUCUAUUAUGCAGCAAUAUUAGCAAGUAUCCACUCUGGACUGCAGCAACAUCUGAAUUUUCAGUUCUUGAGAACUUUCCUGCAUCUUCACAAAAAAUGAACAGAGGAUAUUUAUAAGAACAAUCUUCCAAUUAGCCCCCCUCAACAGCCUGUGCCUGGAGCCUUGUCCAUUUUAAUAUAUGCAGCAAAAAGUGCAAACUGAAGCUUAUUCAUCUUUAUUUUCUGA
RNAcentral lists this long non-coding RNA (725 nucleotides) under Junco hyemalis (dark-eyed junco). RNAcentral's name for it is "lncRNA (ENSJHYG00000012887.1)". Lineage: Eukaryota; Metazoa; Chordata; Aves; Passeriformes; Passerellidae. The record is from RNAcentral.